GAUGAAGAACGUAGCGAAAUGCGAUAAGUAAUGUGAAUUGCAGAAUUCCGUGAAUCAUCGAAUCUUUGAACGCACAUUGCGCCCCCUGGCAUUCCGGGGGGCAUGCCUGUCCGAGCGUCAUUUCUGCCCUCCAGCCCGGCUGGGUGUUGGGCGCUGUCCCCCCGGGGACACGCCCCAAAGGCAGUGGCGGCGCCGCGUCGGGUCCUCGAGCGUAUGGGGCUUUGUCACCCGCUCGGGACGGACUCGUCGGCGCUGGUCUUCCUCCAGGCGACCCUUCGCGGCUCGUCUUCCUUCGGUUGACCUCGGAUCAGGUAGGGUUACCCGCUGAACUUAAGCAUAUCAAUAAGCGGAGGA
RNAcentral lists this unclassified non-coding RNA (354 nucleotides) under soil metagenome. RNAcentral's name for it is "partial contains 5.8S ribosomal RNA, internal transcribed spacer 2, and large subunit ribosomal RNA". The stretch from base 1 to 120 matches the Rfam family "5.8S ribosomal RNA", at positions 35 to 154 of the family's 154-position model. The record is from RNAcentral.